GCAAACUUGGUCAUUUAGAGGAAGUAAAAGUCGUAACAAGGUUUCCGUAGGUGAACCUGCGGAAGGAUCAUUACAGUGCCGCCGGGACUUGCCCCCUAAACCAGGGCGAGCUCCCGCAACUGGCCACCCGUGUCUACCGAACCUCGUUGCUUUGGCGUGCCCGCGAACCCUUCACCGGGGAACCGCCUUGGGGCUUCUGCCUCGGGCCAGCGCCGCCAGAGGACCACAAUUGAACUCUUUGCUGAUGAGUGACUGUCUGAGUGAUUGAUUUAAUCAUUAAAACUUUCAACAACGGAUCUCUUGGUUCCAGCAUCGAUGAAGAACGCAGC
Molecule: unclassified non-coding RNA, 329 nt
Filed under: uncultured fungus
Lineage: Eukaryota; Fungi
Description: partial contains small subunit ribosomal RNA, internal transcribed spacer 1, and 5.8S ribosomal RNA
Rfam family: Eukaryotic small subunit ribosomal RNA (bases 1-73)
Source: RNAcentral